This is a long non-coding RNA of Mastomys coucha (southern multimammate mouse), 441 nucleotides long. RefSeq lists it as uncharacterized. Lineage: Eukaryota; Metazoa; Chordata; Mammalia; Rodentia; Muridae. The transcript has 2 exons. The record is from RefSeq and is a predicted model, not a curated record.
UGCUUUGGACUGUUGUGAAACCGAGGUAGUCUUCAAGCUCCCUCCAUGUGGCUCUGGAAGCUGUCCCGUGGUACACUGUAAACACAGAAUGUCGCCCGCCCAGAGGCCCACGUGCUGAAUGCUUGGUCACCAGGACAGCAACAUUCAGAAAUGAGAGCACAGAGAGCUGACUGGUUCAGGACGGUUCUGAAUUCGUUGGCAGAUGAGUUCAUGAGGUCAUCCUGUUCCGGGUUGUCCUUCGAAAAGCGGACUAGAACACUGCCCUGGAACACCCAAGCAAGGCCUCCUGGACCGACACAUGGAUCAAGUUUCUCUGCCCCCCUCAAACCCCCAAGCUUCAGCAAACAAGACAACCCCGCCUUCUCUUUGCUGCCAAAAUGCAGUGUGAGACUCUUAUGAACUAUUAAACGGAAUCCACCCAUGCAGAUCAAAUUCAAGGUA